AUUCAGGUAUCUUAUUUUUAAAGUUUAAUAUUGAAGAUAUUAAGAAGAAUUGUAAAUUCUCUGGAUA
RNAcentral lists this transfer RNA (67 nucleotides) under Kleidocerys resedae resedae. RNAcentral's name for it is "tRNA-Phe". The record is from RNAcentral. Lineage: Eukaryota; Metazoa; Arthropoda; Insecta; Hemiptera; Lygaeidae.